CGCGGCCUGCGGUAACAUUGCGAUUCUGCCAUGGUGCUGCUUUUAAUUAUACUCACGUCAAACGAAAGACCUUCCGUCUGCUGUAUGAUUCAGAAGUUAAUCAUUCCGAGCUCUUUCACUUUUGUGUUAUAAAAUAAAUAAAAAGAUUUACUUUUUACUUUCUGCAAUUGAACACUGAAACAAAAAAAAAAAGAUAAAACGUGGAAAUCAAAGCAAUCAUUUAUUUGUUGUGCGCGUACAGUCAACAACUGUCGAUACUAAUCUCGUUAUUAUGGCAUAGCGUGUAAGUUUUUUCGUCACUGCUACACAUAUAUUUUACUUCAACUGAAUGUGUGCUCUAUGGACCGAAUUGAAAGUGAAAACGACGUCGACUUAAUUGGCAAUACAAACCAUAGGCCUGUGUAGUGUAUAUGUAACGACUAGAGUGGUGUAAACAAUGAUCAUAACGUCAAGAUAUUUCCAACCCAAGAAGGGGGUGUCCCAGCCGAGCUGACAAAGGAGCAAGAAGUCGUGCAGAGUUUUUUGUUUACGAUGAUUAAUCCGUAACGUUUCUUGCUGGCACCACAGAGCGCCAGAGGUAUCACUUAGGUUAGCACAAAUUAUCAGUUGAAACGGAAAACUGUUUUCUGGUGAUGGUAAAUCUCUGUUAGGACAGACCACAGAUCUUUGUUUACGGUUCGCCCUUUUCCAAACCAUUAAUGUAUUGGCUUAUUGAAAAAGUGGGCGAACAUUGUCGGCGCGAAGUUUAUUGAAAGCGAAAA
Molecule: long non-coding RNA, 761 nt
Organism: Wyeomyia smithii (pitcher-plant mosquito)
Lineage: Eukaryota; Metazoa; Arthropoda; Insecta; Diptera; Culicidae
Exons: 3
Source: RefSeq, a predicted model, not a curated record